Molecule: transfer RNA, 77 nt
Filed under: Acidobacteriota bacterium
Lineage: Bacteria; Pseudomonadati; Acidobacteriota
Description: Acidobacteria bacterium tRNA-Arg
Rfam family: tRNA
About the family: Transfer RNA (tRNA) molecules are approximately 80 nucleotides in length.
Source: RNAcentral
GCGCCCGUAGCUCAGUUGGAUAGAGCGUCUGCCUUCUAAGCAGAAUGGCGCAGGUUCGAGUCCUGCCGGGCGCGCCA